RNAcentral lists this ribosomal RNA (254 nucleotides) under uncultured bacterium. RNAcentral's name for it is "partial 16S ribosomal RNA". The record is from RNAcentral.
CUGCUGCCUCCCGUAGGAGUCUGGGCCGUGUCUCAGUCCCAGUGUGGCUGGUCGUCCUCUCAGACCAGCUACUGAUCGUUGCUUUGGUGAGCCGUUACCUCACCAACCGGCUAAUCAGUCAUCGGCCGCUCCGCUCGCGAGAGGCCCUUGCGGGUCCCCCUCUUUCUUCCGUAGAACUCAUGCGGUAUUAGCCAACCUUUCGGCUGGUUGUCCCCCACGAGCGGACACGUUCCGAUGUAUUACUCACCCGUUCG